CUAACUCAACUUGAGUUGUUAAUUCAAAGCAUGUUAGUGGUUAAUCAUUGUUGAUUAUACCACGUCAAUAAUUUAUUGAUUCGCACAUUGUGCAUGUUGUAUACGUUCAUCAGGUAUGAAAGGCUGAUCACCUUCAUUACCAUAUGUUUCAGUUAAACUUGUUCAUGUUAAUUGUUGACAUCCAAUAUUAUUGGUUCAGUCAUUCAAUCAUUG
This 213-nucleotide long non-coding RNA is filed under the name Panax ginseng (ginseng). RNAcentral describes it as "long non-coding RNA (PGIN_LNC006301)". The record is from RNAcentral. Lineage: Eukaryota; Viridiplantae; Streptophyta; Magnoliopsida; Apiales; Araliaceae.